This 330-nucleotide ribosomal RNA is filed under the name uncultured bacterium. RNAcentral describes it as "bacterial SSU rRNA". It matches the Rfam family "Bacterial small subunit ribosomal RNA", at positions 568 to 898 of the family's 1533-position model. The record is from RNAcentral.
UGUGUAGGCGGUCUUCUAAGUUUGGUGUGAAAUCUCCCGGCUCAACUGGGAGGGUGCGCCGAAUACUGAAAGACUAGAGUGCGGGAGAGGAUAGUGGAAUUCCUGGUGUAGCGGUGAAAUGCGUAGAUAUCAGGAGGAACACCGGUGGUGUAGACGGCUAUCUGGACCGUAACUGACGCUGAGACACGAAAGCGUGGGUAGCAAACAGGAUUAGAUACCCUGGUAGUCCACGCCCUAAACGAUGCAUAUUUGGUGUGGGCAGUUCAGUCUGUCCGUGCCGGAGCUAACGCGUUAAAUAUGCCGCCUGGGGAGUACAGUCGCAAGGCUGAA